GCGAGAGUGGCGGAAUUGGCAGACGCGCUGGAUUUAGGUUCCAGUACCGCAAGGUGUGGGGGUUCGACUCCCCCCUCUCGUA
Molecule: transfer RNA, 82 nt
Filed under: Pseudomonadota bacterium
Lineage: Bacteria; Pseudomonadati; Pseudomonadota
Also listed under: 2 other names
Description: Proteobacteria bacterium tRNA-Leu
Rfam family: tRNA
About the family: Transfer RNA (tRNA) molecules are approximately 80 nucleotides in length. Their secondary structure includes four short double-helical elements and three loops (D, anti-codon, and T loops).
Source: RNAcentral